AAACGACGCAACGAUAUGCAACAUAAGAAGCGUACAGAGAGAUCAAUAUCUGAACCGUUGAAUUAAUGGAAUCGCAAUCCAUGAAUGCAAAGAAGGUUGAAGAAUGCGAUGAUGAACUCUGAAAAUGCGAUGCUAAUUGUUAUGAAAACAAGACGCUGUUGAGGUUGAAAACGCGAUGAUGUUAUUAAAUUCCAAAACACGAUGCCGAAUCCGUGAAUUCUGAAAUCGCGUUGUUGUUUCAUCUUUUCUACAUAAUCGAUUUUCUUUUUCCUUUUGGUUUCAACUAUGUGAACGCAUUUCCUUGUUUUUUGUAGCAUUGUAUUGGGUUUGGUCCUAAGGCCCAAACGGUGUUGUUUCAUUGCACACGCCUCUACCAUGGGCAUGCACUCCCUCCUUCAUGUUCAUAUUAAUUAAUUCCAUUUAAUCUAGUUAAAUUGAUCGAUUUUAA
Lathyrus oleraceus (garden pea) is the source of this 448-nucleotide long non-coding RNA. RefSeq lists it as uncharacterized. The record is from RefSeq and is a predicted model, not a curated record. The transcript has 2 exons. NCBI's taxonomy places the organism in Eukaryota, Viridiplantae, Streptophyta, Magnoliopsida, Fabales, Fabaceae.